Molecule: non-coding RNA, 21 nt
Filed under: Caenorhabditis elegans
Lineage: Eukaryota; Metazoa; Nematoda; Chromadorea; Rhabditida; Rhabditidae
Source: RNAcentral
UUUAGUACUCCAUUUGUUUUG